GACGAACGCUGGCGGCGUGCUUAACACAUGCAAGUCGAACGGAAAGGCCCUGCUUUUGUGGGGUGCUCGAGUGGCGAACGGGUGAGUAACACGUGAGUAACCUGCCCUUGACUUUGGGAUAACUUCAGGCAACUGGGGCUAAUACCGGAUAGGAGCUCCUGCUGCAUGGUGGGGGUUGGAAAGUUUCGGCGGUUGGGGAUGGACUCGCGGCUUAUCAGCUUGUUGGUGGGGUAGUGGCUUACCAAGGCUUUGACGGGUAGCCCGCCUGAGAGGGGGACCGGCGACAAUGGGACUGAGAUACGGCCCAGACUCCUACGGGAGGCAGCAGUGGGGAAUAGUGCACAAUGGGCGGAAGCCUGAUGCAGCAACGCAGCGUGCGGGAUGACGGCCUUCGGGUUGUAAACCGCUGUCGCCUGUGACGAAGCGUGAGUGACGGUAAUGGGUAAAGAAGCACCGGCUAACUACGUG
RNAcentral lists this ribosomal RNA (468 nucleotides) under uncultured bacterium. RNAcentral describes it as "partial 16S ribosomal RNA". It matches the Rfam family "Bacterial small subunit ribosomal RNA", at positions 28 to 507 of the family's 1533-position model. The record is from RNAcentral.